UUCGUCCCGAGUUAUCCAACUCCCAACCCCUGUGAAUUAUACCUUUAAUUGUUGCUUCGGCGGGACUUCGCGCCCGCCGGGGACCCAAACCUUCUGAAUUUUUUAAUAAGUAUCUUCUGAGUGGUUAAAAAUGAAUCAAAACUUUCAACAACGGAUCUCUUGGUUCUGGCAUCGAUGAAGAACGCAGCGAAAUGCGAUAAGUAAUGUGAAUUGCAGAAUUCAGUGAAUCAUCGAAUCUUUGAACGCACAUUGCGCCCGUCAGUAUUCUGGCGGGCAUGCCUGUUCGAGCGUCAUUACGCCCCUCAAGUCCCCUGUGGACUUGGUGUUGGGGAUCCGGCCGAGGCUGGUUUACCAGCACAGCCGUCCCUUAAAUUAAUUGGCGGUCUCGCCGUGGCCCUCCUCUGCGCAGUAGUAAAGCACUCGCAACAGGAGCCCGGCGCGGUCCACUGCCGUAAAACCCCCCAACUUUAUAGACCUACU
RNAcentral lists this ribosomal RNA (480 nucleotides) under Metarhizium anisopliae. Its description in RNAcentral is "partial 18S ribosomal RNA". The stretch from base 140 to 293 matches the Rfam family "5.8S ribosomal RNA". The record is from RNAcentral. Lineage: Eukaryota; Fungi; Ascomycota; Sordariomycetes; Hypocreales; Clavicipitaceae.